CAACACCUAGCUCAGCUGGCAGGGAGCUACUAGGAGCAGCGUGCUGGCCUGAGUUCGAAUCUGUUUGAGCGCAGGUUUUCUCACCAUUUUCUUCUCUAUCAAUACUAGAUGCUAAGUUCCUCCUUAGUAUUCCAAACAUAUAGAAACGUCUCCAAACAUAUAGAAACCUCCUUAGUAUUCCAAACAUAUAGAAACGUCCCGCCCUUACCAAAAGGGCGGAUAAUCAUGUUCCGGCAAAUAUUCUCAAUUUCUAUUUCUGAAGUUCUGAAGGAGAUGAACAGGGGGGGAAACCAACCAGUUGAUGGUGUAAGUGGCGAAUCUACAGUCAUACCACCCUGGGCUCAUCAGGCGGAUGCGCAAUAGAAUUUGAUUUUUUAUGAAUUGAAAACAAAAAUUUUAUAGCAAACUUUUAUAUAAUAAUAUUUAUUAAGGCUUUUCUGGAUCCGACAGUAGAUGAUGUUCGUGGGAUAGUCAUGUGGGUGUACUUUGGCAGGAGCUUCUAAACUAAUUAAUUAGAACAUGCAGCUAUUUAGGAGUGCCGGGAGAUGCUACACAUUUUACACUUCUGGUAAUUUGACAUACUAGCAUAUUGCCCAUGCGCUGCAACAG
This 609-nucleotide long non-coding RNA is filed under the name Oryza sativa (Asian cultivated rice). RNAcentral's name for it is "long non-coding RNA (OSAT_LNC000987)". The record is from RNAcentral. Lineage: Eukaryota; Viridiplantae; Streptophyta; Magnoliopsida; Poales; Poaceae.